UGUAAUGAUGUAUUGUAGACAUCUCUCCAGAGCAGAGCACGAGCUCCUCCUCAUUCUUCUUAACUGCUGUGUCCUAUUCAAUUGAUGGCUGCACCAUCGUUGACCUACAGGUGAACCUGACACGAUCCAUCUCCGCACCAUUGAGGCACUGGUCCAGUGUAGACUCUCCUCUGGGCCCACAGGACCAGGGAGGCCGAGAGUGUGCUCUGUGACCUCAGCGAGCCGUUCCCCCUCUCUGGGCUACACAGUCUGCUCCCCUACGAGGCUGAGGCUGGGCUGGCUCCGGGCAGAUGCUCACUGCCAUUAAGCAGUGAACUGUUGAUCCUUCGGGGUUCAUCUCCAGAUUCCAAAAUGAUCUGCCCCCCGUUUUUCAGGCCGGGGAAAGGCAUGGGGACUCUUUCUGGCUAUUUUUCACUUCUGACUUUUCCCAGGUUGGUGAGAGUGACUCUGAGGAUGAUGUCACCAGCUCUUGGUCGGAGAACGCUAGGAGGCUGAGGGCAUGGGCAAGGACUUUGUCCUAAAGGUCACUGCCUUCAUUUUGGGCUUGGAAACCAUCGUGGAGCCUUUCUUCCCACCACGUGGGAGGGCCUGGUGACCCUUCUCCUGGGCUGGGCGGGUGC
Molecule: long non-coding RNA, 620 nt
Filed under: Homo sapiens (human)
Lineage: Eukaryota; Metazoa; Chordata; Mammalia; Primates; Hominidae
Description: non-protein coding lnc-CTSZ-10:1
Source: RNAcentral